GAGGGAACGCGGGGAAGUGAAACAUCUCAGUACCCGCAGGAAGAGAAAACAACCGUGAUUCCGGGAGUAGUGGUGAGCGAAACCGGAUGAGGCCAAACCAGUCACGUGUGAUACCCGGCAGGGGUUGCGUGGUUGGGGUUGUGGGAGUUCUCUUGAUCGGUCUGCCGGCCGGUCGGUGAGUCAGAAACCGUUGAUGUAGGCGAAGGACAUGCGAAAGGUCCGGCGUAGAGGGU
RNAcentral lists this ribosomal RNA (233 nucleotides) under Streptomyces griseoflavus. Its description in RNAcentral is "partial 23S ribosomal RNA". It matches the Rfam family "Bacterial large subunit ribosomal RNA", at positions 177 to 365 of the family's 2925-position model. Lineage: Bacteria; Bacillati; Actinomycetota; Actinomycetes; Kitasatosporales; Streptomycetaceae. The record is from RNAcentral.